CAGCCACACGAUAGUAACAAGAACUUGGACGCAAUAGGUGAAAUACUGAAAGCCGGGCUUCUUAUUAAUUGAAGCACAGUGUUCUUGAAGAGUAGGAUAAGGUUUUCCCUAGCAGAGACCAUAGUCCUCAACCGGCCGUUAGGUGGUGCUGCUGUUCUGGAUGCAUUCCAGUGGACAAGGCUUGGCACAGUUUUUGUUGGGGAACGUGUGCAUGUGUGGAGGUCAGAUGACAGCUUGAAAGUUGGUUCCUUCCUUUUGCUCUGUGGGUUCUCGGAAUCAAACUCAGGAGUUCUAGGGUUCUCUUGCCCCCCCCCCCAGUUCCUGGUUGGUGCCCCUCCCACAGUGCCGUUAUUUAAAAUAGUGCUCACCCUUGGAGGUGAUGUUAACUGGAACAAGAUGCAGGACCGAGUGUUUCUCUAAAGAAAGAAGGAGGAAACAGCAGUGUUGACCUGCCUCGGAGUCCACCCUCCACCCUCACCUCAGCUCUGCUCCGCAUCCCUCGUGCUCCUGGGUCACCGCCAACAGCACCGAAACCCCAGGGCUCACUCACUCUUGUGCUUCUGGGCAUGUCCAACCUGC
RNAcentral lists this long non-coding RNA (579 nucleotides) under Mus caroli (Ryukyu mouse). Its description in RNAcentral is "lncRNA (MGP_CAROLIEiJ_G0002650.1)". Lineage: Eukaryota; Metazoa; Chordata; Mammalia; Rodentia; Muridae. The record is from RNAcentral.